Bactrocera oleae (olive fruit fly) is the source of this 653-nucleotide non-coding RNA. The record is from RefSeq and is a predicted model, not a curated record. Lineage: Eukaryota; Metazoa; Arthropoda; Insecta; Diptera; Tephritidae.
AAGUACUUUGCUGAUUUUUGUUAUAAUGGUACUACUCUUAUCCUAAGCUGUGAGAUAACCAAAGAAAAUUAUGAACUUCAGUUGCCAAUCCGCGUAUAUGUACAAUCUAAAACUCAAAUAGUAAUUUUUCGGGCAAGUCCGAAAAUCAACUCCAAAGCGUCAUUGUUAGCGAGUCUUGAUUGUCGGAACCACUACUGAAUCGGAGUUUCAAAUAAUCUGGCAUUUUUAUCGUAUUUGAUGUUUGAAUAUUUUUUCGGGUUUAUGGUCACCACCACAGCAUGCAUGUAACGUUGGUUUCCAACUGGAAAGCUGGAGCUGAUAUAUCUGAAUAUUUUUAGGCUACAAGGGAGUCUACGGAUUCUUUUAAAAAUCGCUCGUACGCCAGAUGUAGAUUCUUACGGGUUUUAAAACCUCAAUUCAUGGAUCCGAUAUUUGAAUUAGAAAAUCUUCAGUCUAUACUAAUAUUAUUAAGAGGAAAGAUUUGAUACUUGACGGAUUUGAAAAAUUCUUUUACCGUUGCAAAACUACACUCGCUCCAGUUAACAUAGGCUAUAUUAUAUUUUCAAAAUCCCUAACUCAUUACUAAAACGCUAUUUAUGAAUAAUAGAACAAAAUAAUGUACUAUAAUUUUACAGAACAUAUAAUUAACAAAA